This 177-nucleotide ribosomal RNA is filed under the name Helicobacter pylori. Its description in RNAcentral is "partial 23S ribosomal RNA". It matches the Rfam family "Bacterial large subunit ribosomal RNA", at positions 1916 to 2092 of the family's 2925-position model. The record is from RNAcentral. Lineage: Bacteria; Pseudomonadati; Campylobacterota; Epsilonproteobacteria; Campylobacterales; Helicobacteraceae.
AGCCCGAGUAAACGGCGGCCGUAACUAUAACGGUCCUAAGGUAGCGAAAUUCCUUGUCGGUUAAAUACCGACCUGCAUGAAUGGCGUAACGAGAUGGGAGCUGUCUCAACCAGAGAUUCAGUGAAAUUGUAGUGGAGGUGAAAAUUCCUCCUACCCGCGGCAAGACGGAAAGACCCC